Molecule: long non-coding RNA, 565 nt
Organism: Scophthalmus maximus (turbot)
Lineage: Eukaryota; Metazoa; Chordata; Actinopteri; Pleuronectiformes; Scophthalmidae
Exons: 2
Source: RefSeq, a predicted model, not a curated record
GCAGCUCCACGUCGACAUUCUUCCAGCUGCAUAUAGUGAACUGCACAGGACUGGGGGAAGAAGGGGUGAAAGCGGCGGUCGCCACCUCACGAUUGGAGCGAGGCAAGCUCCGCAGACGGACACGAGCCGCGGUGGAAACAGGCGUUGGGCACCGGGAACCCGGGCCGCGGACCCGGCGAUGUCCGCAGAUCGCCUUCUGCCCUGCAUUUUGUGAUCCAGACUCUCUCCCCCCUCGUGUUGGUUGGAUUGCAGCCGGUGCCCUUGCGUCUAUACCUACACCAGGUUGAAGGAGCACCCGGUCGCAAGGAGGAUAAGUCUCGACACAAGGACAAACCUAUGAGGUGGCACUCUGGCUUUCCAAAUAAAGUUCUGUGAUACACUUAGACUCUAGCUGCCUGCAGUCAGUGCAUUACAGAACUUUGUUUUGGGAGUUAAUAUUUAGCCUGUGGGGAAUAGAUCCUCAAACAUCUGGACAUUAUACAUUUACAGCAGAAUGUGAUCAUUUUGAUGAUGAAUGACUGUUUUUUUUGUGGUUUUUUUUCAAAUAAAGUUUCUCCCUGUUUAA